UACGAAGGGGGCUAGCGUUGUUCGGAAUUACUGGGCGUAAAGCGCACGUAGGCGGUUGAUUAAGUCAGGGGUGAAAUCCCGAGGCUCAACCUCGGAACUGCCCUUGAUACUGGCCAUCUCGAGUCCGGAAGAGGUUAGUGGAAUUCCCAGUGUAGAGGUGAAAUUCGUAGAUAUUGGGAAGAACACCAGUGGCGAAGGCGGCUAACUGGUCCGGUACUGACGCUGAGGUGCGAAAGCGUGGGGAGCAAACAGG
This 253-nucleotide ribosomal RNA is filed under the name uncultured bacterium. RNAcentral describes it as "partial 16S ribosomal RNA". It matches the Rfam family "Bacterial small subunit ribosomal RNA", at positions 524 to 776 of the family's 1533-position model. The record is from RNAcentral.